GCCUCCGUAGCUCAACCGGAUAGAGCGACAGUUUUCUAAACUGUAGGUUGCAGGUUCAAGUCCUGCCGGAGGUACCA
RNAcentral lists this transfer RNA (77 nucleotides) under Patescibacteria group bacterium. RNAcentral's name for it is "tRNA-Arg". It matches the Rfam family "tRNA". Rfam says of the family: Transfer RNA (tRNA) molecules are approximately 80 nucleotides in length. Their secondary structure includes four short double-helical elements and three loops (D, anti-codon, and T loops). The record is from RNAcentral. RNAcentral also lists the same sequence under 2 other names.